Non-coding RNA from Schistosoma mansoni, 45 nucleotides. Lineage: Eukaryota; Metazoa; Platyhelminthes; Trematoda; Strigeidida; Schistosomatidae. The record is from Rfam.
ACCUUGCUGACGAGUGCUAAGUAGCACGAAACCCGGGUCCAAGGU